RNAcentral lists this ribosomal RNA (477 nucleotides) under Fridericia magna. Its description in RNAcentral is "partial 16S ribosomal RNA". It matches the Rfam family "Bacterial large subunit ribosomal RNA", at positions 1819 to 2596 of the family's 2925-position model. The record is from RNAcentral. Lineage: Eukaryota; Metazoa; Annelida; Clitellata; Enchytraeida; Enchytraeidae.
UGCUUUAUGACCUAAUAUAUAAAGUAAUCUCCUGCCCAAUGACUAAAAUUUAAUGGCCGCGGUAUCCUAACCGUGCAAAGGUAGCAUAAUAACUUGCCUAUUAAUUGUAGGCUAGAAUGAACGGGGUAACGAAAUAAGAUCUUUCUUUUUUAAACCUCCAUAAACUAAUAUUUAAGUGAAGAAGCUUAAAUCUAAUUAAAGGACAAGAAGACCCUAUAGAGCUUUAAUCUAACAAUAUACUACAUUAUACAUUUCGGUUGGGGCAACCAAGGCACAUCAUCCUUACUUAUAUAAGACACACAUUUCAUUAUUAAUGACCCUAAUAUAGAUCACUGAAUCAAUGCUACCUUAGGGAUAACAGGCUAAUCCUAUUACAGAGCUCUUAUCACCAAUAGGGAUUGGCACCUCGAUGUUGGCUUAGAAUAUCUUUAUGACGCAGCAGUCAUAAAAAGAAAGUUUGUUCAACUUAUAAUAUUC